This 396-nucleotide ribosomal RNA is filed under the name uncultured bacterium. RNAcentral's name for it is "partial 16S ribosomal RNA". It matches the Rfam family "Bacterial small subunit ribosomal RNA", at positions 523 to 917 of the family's 1533-position model. The record is from RNAcentral.
AUACGUAGGGGGCGAGCGUUGUCCGGAAUGACUGGGCGUAAAGGGCGUGUAGGCGGCGGUGUAAGUCUGGAGUGAAAGUCCCGCAUUCAAUGUGGGAAUUGCUUUGGAUACUGCAGUGCUAGAGUGCGGAAGAGGUAAGUGGAAUUCCCAGUGUAGCGGUGAAAUGCGUAGAGAUUGGGAGGAACACCAGUGGCGAAGGCGACCUACCGGGUCGAAACGGACGCUGGGGCGGCAAAGCGGGGGGAGCGAACAGGAUUAGAUCCCCGGGUAGUCCACGCGGUAAACGAUGAAUGCUAGGUGUUGCGGGUAUCGACCCCUGCAGUGCCGGAGUAAACACAAUAAGCAUUCCGCCUGGGGAGUACGGCCGAAAGGUUGAAACUAAAAUGAAUUGACGGG